CCUACGGGACGCAGCAGUAGGGAAUAUUGCUCAAUGGGGGAAACCCUGAAGGAGCAACGCCGCGUGGAGGAAGAAGGCUUUAGGGUUGUAAACUCCUGUUGUUAGAGAAGAUUAUGACGGUGUCUAACGAAUAAGCAACGGCUAACUCCGUGCCAGCAGCCGCGGUAAUACGGAGGGUGCAAGCGUUACUCGGAAUCACGGGGCGUAAAGAGUGCGUAGGCGGUGUAAUAAGUCUGAUGUGAAAUCCUGUAGCUUAACUACAGAAGUGCAUUUGAAACUGUUUCACUGGAGUGUAGAAGAGGGAAGUGGAAUUCUUUGUGUAGGGGUAAAAUCCGUAGAGAUCAAGAGGAAUACUCGUGGCGAAGGCGACCUGCUGGUACACAACUGACACUGAGGCACGAAAGCGUGGGGAGCAAACAGGAUUAGAUACCCCGGUAGUC
This 440-nucleotide ribosomal RNA is filed under the name uncultured bacterium. RNAcentral's name for it is "partial 16S ribosomal RNA". It matches the Rfam family "Bacterial small subunit ribosomal RNA", at positions 338 to 795 of the family's 1533-position model. The record is from RNAcentral.